Long non-coding RNA from Oxyura jamaicensis (ruddy duck), 556 nucleotides. RefSeq lists it as uncharacterized. The transcript is spliced from 2 exons. The record is from RefSeq and is a predicted model, not a curated record. NCBI's taxonomy places the organism in Eukaryota, Metazoa, Chordata, Aves, Anseriformes, Anatidae.
GAGCUUGAAAAGGCUCGGCCUCCUCAAGGAACGCUAUCUGAUUUGUAAGCAUUCCUAGAGGUUAAGACUGGUGACUAUCAAGAAAGCAAAUACUUCACGCAAGGGCUGUUGCACAAUUGUGUUGCAUGUUUGUGGUAGGAGAGAAAGCUGGAGAGCUGGGCUAUGAAACCAUCUCGGGGAAGGAAGCCAUGUUUUAUUUUCGUUGCUUGGUUUGGACAUCAGCCUGUAGAAGAUUGAAUAACAUUAAAAAAACAUAGUGUGACCCAUUCAUGGGAACCCAACCUGGUCUGCUACACAGAUAUGUGAAAUAUGAGGUUUCAUACUCAGGGUGGAAAUAUCAAUGAAAAUGUGUUCACUGGUAUAGAAGAAAUCCUAGUUUACAUGUGUGAUAACUCAUUAGUUGUUGUACAGAAAAUUUCAUCUGUAGUUUCAGGAUCUGUUGUGCUUGUGCUUGUAGUUGCAAUUAGGCAGCAUUUGGAAAACUGGUUGUGAAUCUGCCCCUCUGAUGGAUCGCUGAAAAUAUCUUCUGUAGCAGAGAAUUGAGACAGAACAGUGA